UACAGAGGUCUCGAGCGUUGUUCGGAUUCAUUGGGCGUAAAGGGUGCGUAGGUGGCGCCGUAAGUCGGGUGUGAAAUUUCGGAGCUUAACUCCGAAACUGCAUUCGAUACUGCGGUGCUUGAGGACUGGAGAGGAGACUGGAAUUCAUGGUGUAGCAGUGAAAUGCGUAGAGAUCAUGAGGAAGACCAGUGGCGAAGGCGGGUCUCUGGACAGUUCCUGACACUGAAGCACGAAGGCCAGGGGAGCAAACGGG
This 253-nucleotide ribosomal RNA is filed under the name uncultured bacterium. RNAcentral's name for it is "partial 16S ribosomal RNA". It matches the Rfam family "Bacterial small subunit ribosomal RNA", at positions 524 to 776 of the family's 1533-position model. The record is from RNAcentral.